CCUAUAAGGGAAGUUGGGAAAGUUUUUUCGCUAAGAGGUCAGUCUAUGUCCCAUCAGUUUGUUGGUGAGGUAAUGGCUCACCAAGACUAUGACGGGUAUCUGGUUUGAGAGGAUGAUCAGACACACUGGAACUGAGACACGGUCCAGACUCCUACGGGAGGCAGCAGUGAGGAAUAUUGCACAAUGGAGGAAACUCUGAUGCAGCAACGCCGCGUGGAGGAUGACGCAUUUCGGUGUGUAAACUCCUUUUAAGAGGGAAGAUAAUGACGGUACCUCUUGAAUAAGCACCGGCUAACUCCGUGCCAGCAGCCGCGGUAAUACGGAGGGCGCAAGCGUUACUCGGAAUCACUGGGCGUAAAGGGUGCGUAGGCUGGCUUCUAAGUCAGAUGUGAAAUCCAAUGGCUCAACCAUUGAACUGCAUUUGAAACUGGGAGCCUAGAGUUCAGAAGGGGCAGAUGGAAUUAGUGGUGUAGGGGUAAAAUCCGUAGAUAUCACUAGGAAUAUCAAAAGCGA
This 513-nucleotide ribosomal RNA is filed under the name uncultured Campylobacterota bacterium. Its description in RNAcentral is "bacterial SSU rRNA". It matches the Rfam family "Bacterial small subunit ribosomal RNA", at positions 185 to 718 of the family's 1533-position model. The record is from RNAcentral. Lineage: Bacteria; Pseudomonadati; Campylobacterota.